This 125-nucleotide small RNA is filed under the name Gilliamella sp. wkB195. Its description in RNAcentral is "RtT sRNA". It matches the Rfam family "RtT RNA". Rfam says of the family: This family represents a bacterial cis-regulatory element known as RtT RNA. The record is from RNAcentral. Lineage: Bacteria; Pseudomonadati; Pseudomonadota; Gammaproteobacteria; Orbales; Orbaceae.
UUCAUUCUGCGUUUUGAGAGGAUGAGAACCGACGGAGGUUCGAGCCGAGCGCAGCGAGACAACGUUGCUUUAGCAACGGCCCGAAGGGCGAGCAUGAAAUGCGAGUAAUCCUCUCUCGCCGACCA